GGAGGAAAAGAAACCAACAGGGAUUGCCUCAGUAACGGCGAGUGAAGCGGCAAAAGCUCAAAUUUUAAAGCUGGCAUCUUCGGUGUCCGCGUUGUAAUUUUGUGAGGCAUCUCCGGGUAGGGCGCCAGCCUAAGUUCCUUGGAACAGGACGUCACAGAGGGUGAGAAUCCCGUGCUUGGCUGGCUGUCCCCGCCCACGUGAGGCGUCUUCGACGAGUCGAGUUGUUUGGGAAUGCAGCUCAAAAUGGGUGGUAAAUUUCAUCUAAAGCUAAAUAUUGGUGGGAGACCGAUAGCGCACAAGUAGAGUGAUCGAAAGAUGAAAAGCACUUUGAAAAUAGAGUUAAAAAGUACGUGAAAUUGUUGAAAGGGAAGCGCUUGAGACCAGACUUCGGUAGGGGGUGAUCAGCCGUCCUUCUGGGCGGUGCACUUGCCCCCCUCCGGGCCAGCAUCGGUUGAGGCGGCGGGAUAAAGGUCCCGGGAACGUGGCUCCUUCACGGGAGUGUUAUAGCCCGGGUGAAUGCCGCCAGCCUCGACCGAGGACCGCGCCCGCAAGGGUUAGGAUGCUUGGCAUAAUGGUCUUCAGCGACCCGUCU
This 592-nucleotide ribosomal RNA is filed under the name Morchella punctipes. RNAcentral's name for it is "eukaryotic LSU rRNA". It matches the Rfam family "Eukaryotic large subunit ribosomal RNA", at positions 52 to 654 of the family's 3401-position model. The record is from RNAcentral. Lineage: Eukaryota; Fungi; Ascomycota; Pezizomycetes; Pezizales; Morchellaceae.